Molecule: long non-coding RNA, 1585 nt
Organism: Clupea harengus (Atlantic herring)
Lineage: Eukaryota; Metazoa; Chordata; Actinopteri; Clupeiformes; Clupeidae
Source: Ensembl
GUUCAUGAAUCUCCCGUCCGCAGUGGUGUUCAUGAAUCGCCCGUCCGCAGUGGUGUUCAUGAAUCGCCCGUCCGCAGUGGUGUUCAUGAAUCGCCCGUCCGCAGUGGUGUUCAUUAAAUGCCCGUCCGCAUCCGUUCAUGAUCUCAUUUUGAUUGUAAGACACAUCGUGGCGAUUAGCCAAUCAAACUGCUCUAUUUUCACGAGGAGGGCGUAAUCUAUCAGAAUCAUCAACAGCUGCCUGUUUGUUUGAUAGCCUGUAGCCCAACGGUCAAUGCCAGCCACCUUAAGAAGAGUAACUAGGCUUAUGCACUUCACUGGGGCAGUUAAGAAGGGCAACUAGGCUUAUUCACUUCACUGGGGCAGUUAAGAAGGGCAACUAGGCUUGUUCACUUCACUGGGGCAGUUAAGAAGGGUAACUAGGCUUAUCCACUUCACUGGGGCAGUUAAGAAGGGCAACUAGGCUUCAACUUCACUGGGGCAGUUAAGAAGAGUAACUAGGCUUAUUCACUUCACUGGGGCAGCCUGGGUGUUACAUUAUAUAGGUAACAUUAUAUUGUUUAUUUAAGUUUAUUUAUGUUUAUAGAUUAUAAUUGAAGCAUAAGCCAGUAAAUUUAGAGUUUGUCCGGUAAAAUUAUUCCUUUCAGGACACCGGGCAGUCAACCCUGAUACACACACCCCCCCACACACACACUGACUUACACACACACAAACACACACACACACACACAGAGAGCAGGUACAGGUAACUCACACACACACACACAGAGAGAGCAGGUACAGGUAACACACACACACACUCACACACACACUCACACACAGAGAGAGAGCAGGUACAGGUAACACACACACACACACAAAUAGCACAUGGUCUUUGGUACAGUGGUUUCAGAAGACUUUUAUCUUUAAUUUAUUUUGUUAAAUCAAGUCUUUGUGUUUUCAUUUCAAGCCAGGAAUUAGUGUGUUUAGUUUUCAAUGUAAUCUAGAUCAUGUAUGUGUUUGUAAUCUAGAUCAUGUAUUUGUUUGUAAACUAGAUCACGUAUGUAUUUGUAAACUAGAGCAUGUUUGUGUUUGUAAUCUAGAUCUUGUUUGUGUUUGUAAACUAGAUCAUGUAUGUGUUACUGUAUCUGAAAUGUAAACUAGAUCUUGUUUGUGUUUGUAAACUAGAUCAUGUAUUUGUUUGUAAACUAGAUCAUGUAUUUGUUUGUAAACUAGAUCAUGUAUUUGUUUGUAAACUAGAUCAUGUAUUUGUUUGUAAACUAGAUCAUGUAUUUGUUUGUAAACUAGAUCAUGUAUUUGUUUGUGUAUCUGAGAUGUAAACUGUGGAGCAUGCCUGAGGUACAUUGUUGACAAGUGAAAGGUAUUUUUGUAUAACAUUAGGCACAUGGUAAAGUGUGUGAGUGUGUAUGCGUGUGUGUGUGUGUGUGUGUGUGUGUGUGUGUGUGUGUGUGUGUGUGUGUGUGUGUGUGUGUGUGUUACAUUAGGCACAUGGUAAAGGUCCUGUGUGUUAUUUCACUGUUAUUCUUUUCUACAUGUGAGGUUAUUAUUAAACACAAAUUAAACUUGUGUAUCAGCCUACUGCACUGCC